Long non-coding RNA from Heteronotia binoei (common prickly gecko), 568 nucleotides. RefSeq lists it as uncharacterized. The record is from RefSeq and is a predicted model, not a curated record. Lineage: Eukaryota; Metazoa; Chordata; Lepidosauria; Squamata; Gekkonidae. The transcript is spliced from 2 exons.
AAACCCGCGAGAGGGGAAGGAAGGAAGCGGGGAGGCGGGACUACUGCGCCUGCGAAUCUCGUUUGCACCAAUAGGGAGCAGGGAGCAAAUGAAAGACGGGAGGGAGAGGACCAAUGCAAAGCGCCGGAGGAUAACCGGAGAGUAAAGAACGAGCCUCCCUUGUAGCACUGGGCGAUUGCAGGAAUGUGUCUGAGCAGCAAAAAAACGUGCAGUCAAUGCUACCAGAAGGCCUGCAAACGGCAAGAUCAAGAUAUCUGCUGGGUUUUGUCCGCCACAUCAGAUCAAUAAUCUAUCAAAUUCACCUCCCUGUUUUCUGCAGUGACUGACCAGAUCCCUAGGAAAAGUCUGCAGCAGGGAAUAUACCACCCUGCUGAAAUACUGAUUUUAUACUAUCUGCUGUUCAGUAUAUUAUGACGUGCUGAACUGAGCUGCCAAUUUGUAUUGUCUACUUUUAUUGGUUUUAAUUGCUGUUUUACUGUUUUAAAAUGUUAUUUGCCCUGAGCCCAUCUGGGAAAGGGUAGAAUAUAAAUUAUCUAAAUAAAAUAAAUAAAUAAAAUACUGUAAAUGA